GGAUUUUUCAAUGCAAUUUAAAAUAAAAACAUGUUUAGCUCAGUGAUGCUUCAUUGGUAAAAGUAAGGUAAACAUGCAAACCUGCGUGUGUACACUAGUCGUGCAGAUUGUGAAACAGGCUUAUCAACAAUUCAAGAACAAAAUACACAUGCCUAGUCGUAGUAGGGAGUAUAUGUCUAUCUAUGUGGACUCGUCAGACAUGUGAAUGCUAGCUACAACAU
This is a non-coding RNA of Pelobates cultripes (western spadefoot toad), 221 nucleotides long. The record is from the annotation of a GenBank genome assembly. NCBI's taxonomy places the organism in Eukaryota, Metazoa, Chordata, Amphibia, Anura, Pelobatidae.